This 440-nucleotide ribosomal RNA is filed under the name uncultured bacterium. RNAcentral's name for it is "partial 16S ribosomal RNA". It matches the Rfam family "Bacterial small subunit ribosomal RNA", at positions 338 to 795 of the family's 1533-position model. The record is from RNAcentral.
CCUACGGGAGGCAGCAGUGGGGAAUAUUGCACAAUGGGGGAAACCCUGAUGCAGCGACGCCGCGUGAGUGAAGAAGUAUCUCGGUACGUAAAGCUCUAUCAGCAGGGAAGAAAAUGACGGUACCUGACUAAGAAUCCCCUGCUAACUACGUUCCAGCAGCCGCGGUAAUACGUAGGGGGCAAGCGUUAUCCGGAUUUCAUGUGGGUAGAGGGGGCGUAAACGGUAGCACAAGUCUGAAGUGAAAUCCCGGGGCUUAACCCCGGAAUUGCUUUGGAAACUGUGCGGCUGGAGUGCAGGGGGGGUAAGCGGAAUUCCUAGUGUAGCGGUGAAAUGCGUAGAUAUUAGGAGGAACACCGGUGGCGAAGGCGGCUUACUGGGCUGUAACUGACGUUGAGGCUCGAAAGCGUGGGGAGCAAACAGGAUUAGAUACCCCAGUAGUC